CAGUAGCCGCGGUGAUACGAAGGGGGCUAGCGUUGCUCGGAAUUACUGGGCGUAAAGGGAGCGUAGGCGGAUCGUUUAGUCAGGGGUGAAAUCCCGGGGCUCAACCUCGGAACUGCCUUUGAUACUGGCGAUCUUGAGUAUGGGAGAGGUGUGUGGAACUCCGAGUGUAGAGGUGAAAUUCGUAGAUAUUCGGAAGAACACCAGUGGCGAAGGCGACACACUGGCCCAUUGCUGACGCUGAGGCUCGAAAGCGUGGGGAGCAAACAGGAUUAGAUACCCGUGUAGUCCCUGUCUCUUAUAC
This 301-nucleotide ribosomal RNA is filed under the name uncultured bacterium. RNAcentral's name for it is "partial 16S ribosomal RNA". It matches the Rfam family "Bacterial small subunit ribosomal RNA", at positions 509 to 807 of the family's 1533-position model. The record is from RNAcentral.